GCUACAGCAUUUAAUUGCAAACUUAGUCAAAGAACAUAAACAUAAUUCUUAAAAGUAACGUGAUUAGUUCACCUUGUAACUCAAAAUAUUAAAGCAAAUAAGCGGAUCAAAAUAAGAAACAUCUAGUUGAGCAUGGAACCAAACAUAGCAUUUAACAGGAAUAAUGACUAAAUCAAUUGUAUAUUGUAACAACGGACAGCUUCCAACCAAUAUAUAAAGGCGAGCAUGCUAAAGCCGGAAACGAGUAGAUGUUGACUGGAGCUCUACACCUUGCUCGACCGUGAAACUACGCUGGCGACUUUGAUAGAACUCGAACUCAAAUAGGCUUUCUGCCAGCAAUUUUUCCGGAGCGCCUCAAAUGCCCGGAACACUUCGAACCUCAAAUGACUCGAACGGCGACCUCUGUUUUCGCGUCGAAAGAGAGAGCUGCUAUUUUGGGUCUUUGUGGGGUUGAAAAUGGUCUGUUCUUUUGCCGGUUUUUGGCUGAAUUUUGCUGUAAUUUUGGAGUCAUUUUGGGACAGUUUUAGUCCAUUUUCAUGGCUGGUUUGGGGCUGAUUUUUGGGGUGAAUUUCUAGCUCAUUUUUGGGCUGUUUUUGCUAGUGAUUGGGGUUGAAAUGAGCAGCAUUCUCAACUGUUAUUUCAGGUCGUUUUGGAUGCAAAAGAUGUGAGGUUUGGAGCUGAAAUGGGGGUGAUUUGGAGGUGGGUUUUGGAUUGUUUAAGGACUAUUUUAUUUUAGCUAUGUUUUGGGGUUGUUUGCUGGGGUUUUGAAGUAAAAACAAGGCUGAUUUUGAUGGAGGUUUUGUUUUAGAAGGAAGAUGAAGGUGUGGUAAGUGUGGAAACGAUGAUGGAGGAGUCUUCAAGUGUUUAGUGGC
RNAcentral lists this long non-coding RNA (872 nucleotides) under Nicotiana benthamiana. Its description in RNAcentral is "long non-coding RNA (NBEN_LNC020480)". The record is from RNAcentral. Lineage: Eukaryota; Viridiplantae; Streptophyta; Magnoliopsida; Solanales; Solanaceae.